UAAGACAACCACUAAGGCAGCGCCGGCGAAGGCACCGGCCAAAGCAAGGGCUGCUUCCAAGGCGAAGCCCAAGGCAGCAACGGCUGCCGCCAAGCCGAAGGCAGGAGCUGCUUCGAAGGCGAAAGCUGCUGCCGCUACUAAGCCUAAGGCUGCUGCCAAGCCGAAAGCUGCUGCUGCGGCUAAGACGAAGGCAGUAGCUAAACCGAAGCCGAAGGAGAAGCCGGCGAAGGUUGCGAGGACGUCUACAAGGACUUCUCCAGGGAAGAAGGCACCGGCGGCAGUAAAGCCGGCGGCGAAGAAGGCUCCAGCGAC
RNAcentral lists this long non-coding RNA (312 nucleotides) under Carica papaya (papaya). Its description in RNAcentral is "long non-coding RNA (CPAP_LNC008682)". The record is from RNAcentral. Lineage: Eukaryota; Viridiplantae; Streptophyta; Magnoliopsida; Brassicales; Caricaceae.